UACGGAGGAUCCAAGCGUUAUCCGGAUUUAUUGGGUUUAAAGGGUGCGUAGGCGGCCCGGUAAGUUAGAGGUGAAAGCCCGUGGCUCAACCACGGAAUUGCCUCUGAUACUGUCGGGCUAGAGAAUAGUUGCUGUGGGCGGAAUGUGUAGUGUAGCGGUGAAAUGCUUAGAGAUUACACAGAACACCGAUUGCGAAGGCAGCUCACAAAGCUAUUUCUGACGCUGAGGCACGAAAGCGUGGGGAGCAAACAGG
RNAcentral lists this ribosomal RNA (253 nucleotides) under uncultured bacterium. RNAcentral's name for it is "partial 16S ribosomal RNA". It matches the Rfam family "Bacterial small subunit ribosomal RNA", at positions 524 to 776 of the family's 1533-position model. The record is from RNAcentral.